GCAGGUUAAGGAUCUGGCAUUGUCACUGCAAUGGCUGGGGUCGCUGCUCGGGGUCGCUGCUCGGGCUCGGGCUCCAUCCCUGACCCAGGAAUUUCCACAUGCAGCAGGCAUAGCCCCCACAAAAGAGAGAGAGAGAGAAGCUGAAAGCUAAAGUGUUAUAAGUUACAGCCAAAUAAAAGAUUAUAGGUUAAGUUACACAUCUCUAAAUAGUACCACAAGAGGACUUGCUGCACACACAGAGCUAUCCAGCCAUCUGUCAACUACAGAGGUUCUCCAGUUCGGCUGCAUAUCAAAAGUACUUGGGGAACUUUACAUAAAUACAGAUGCUCAGGCCCCACCCCCGACCAAAUGAAUGAAAAUUAGUAUUUUCCAAAGCUCCCCUGGUAACUCUACUGUGCAGCCAGAUGUGAGACCCCCUGAACUGCCGGCAAAAACAGGGUCUUCACCAAAUAGAUCAUCAGCCCAACCACAGCCAAGCAGACCUAAUCCUGCCUCUACUGUCCUCCUGUAGCUUCCCAGAGGCCCCUGCUCAUCACUCUUUACAGUUAUCCUAAGUCCUUCUCUGCCCCCCCAAGAGGAAAGCAGCCCCCCAAGGAUGGGACAGUGCUAUUAGUCAUGCUACCUCCAGCACCCAGCGCAUAACUGGAGUUUGAUGAACAUUUGUUCUCAUUUGAUAACUGCAGUUUGAUGAACUUGAAUAGAUGCAAGAGAAGACAGAGAGCCAAGCCAAAUGGGAAGGAGAGGGCAUAUGACAGCAACAGGAAAACACAUGUUCUCUGAUCCUUUAAGUUCACUCGUGUGACGCUCCACUAAAGUACAGGCCUUGCAGGAAAGACCUACUCUGAAAAGAACAAAAAGUCACCUGUCAUUCUGAUAUGGUGGCCAGGGAAAACCUGGCAAAAGGGAGCUAUAUUUUGAAACAGCAAUGCAACAUGCGAUAAAAGAAAUGAAACACAAAAAUAGAAGCCUAGUAACCAAAGUAUGUUCUAGGAGCUCCUCCCUAUCUACACCUAACAAUGUGCUCACACCCACACUUUCUCUGCUGGAGUUAGGUCACAAACAGAGUGACACUACUGUAACUGUGCACAUUUUGAGAUGCACAAUUACAACACAGAACCNNNNNNNNNNNNNNNNNNNNNNNNNNGGGAAAGAGCAACACAUGAGAACACCUGAAUAAAGCCUUGUCCAAAUGCGUUUGAAAAGUUCAAGCUACAAACUCAUGAGUCUCAAAAUGCUAUCAUUAAAUGUUAGCCAUAAAUAGUCUUUCCUCGGGUGAAAAGGACAAGAAAAAGAUAAAGGUUAUGGAUGCUAGCAAAUAUUUCCUUCUCAGAGUUCCCAUCGUGGCGCAGUGGAAACCAAUCCAACUAGGAACCUUGAGGUUUCGGGUUUGAUCCCUGGACUCGCUCAGUGGGUUAAGGAUCUGGCAUUGUUGUGAGCUGUGUUGUAGGUCGCAGCGUGGCUCGGGAUCUGGCAUUGCUGUGGCUGUGGUAUAGGCUGGCAGCUGUAGCUCCAAUUUUAUCCCUAGCCUGGGAAUGCAAAUAAGAGCAGCCUUCUGAGCUGGGAAAAGCACGAGCAAAGAAAACAAUACAACCUCAACCCUGUCAUCUGCUAAAGCAAAAUAAAGACACUGCACCAUUUGGUUUUAUAUUUAUGGAGAGUUCCAGAAUCCUUUCCUCUAUAUGCACCCUCCUGUCCUACGUAGCGCUUAGUUAGAGAGCAGCUUCUCUGGAAGGGCUCUGGAAAUAACAUAUACAUUUUCAGGAGGAAUCAACAUUAGCCCCAUACGGCUUAAAGUGCAUCCCACACGGAGGUUAUGUCAACAUCCUCGUCCUCCGGGCAGGUCUUCC
RNAcentral lists this long non-coding RNA (1847 nucleotides) under Sus scrofa (pig). RNAcentral describes it as "lncRNA (ENSSSCG00005003245.1)". Lineage: Eukaryota; Metazoa; Chordata; Mammalia; Artiodactyla; Suidae. The record is from RNAcentral.